UGAGCUGCAGGACAGGAAUGAAAUCCAAAGGGAUCCCUCCAUGUGGACAGUCCCACCCCUGGUCCCAGGGCAGAGCUUCAGCUACGUCCAUGGGGCCUCCUCAGUGUCCCUGCUGGGCCAGACGGUGGGUCAGAGUUUGCAGGCGGCAGCUGACCGCUGGCCCCACAGAGAGGCCCUGGUGUUCGUGCAGGAUGGAGUCCGUAAGACCUUCUCCCAGUUUCAGGAGGACGUAGGUCUUUCAUCCACCCUCUCUUCUAAUCUAUUUCAUCAUAUCUUAACAUAACAGGACUGUAGAGGUUUAGGAGGGGUAACAUAACAGGACUGUAGAGGUUUAGGAGGGGUAACAUAACAGGACUGUAGAGGUUUAGGAGGGGUAACAUAACAGGACUGUAGAGGUUUAGGAGGGUAACAUAACAACAGGACUGUAGAGGUUUAGGAGGGGUAACAUAACAGGACUGUAGAGGUUUAGGAGGGGUAACAUAACAGGACUGUAGAGGUUUAGGAGGGGUAACGUAAC
This is a long non-coding RNA of Oncorhynchus tshawytscha (Chinook salmon), 517 nucleotides long. The record is from Ensembl. Lineage: Eukaryota; Metazoa; Chordata; Actinopteri; Salmoniformes; Salmonidae.